AGAGUUUGAUCAUGGCUCAGAUUGAACGCUGGCGGCAGGCCUAACACAUGCAAGUCGAGCGGUAGCACAGAGAGCUUGCUCUCGGGUGACGAGCGGCGGACGGGUGAGUAAUGUCUGGGAAACUGCCUGAUGGAGGGGGAUAACUACUGGAAACGGUAGCUAAUACCGCAUAACGUCGCAAGACCAAAGUGGGGGACCUUCGGGCCUCAUGCCAUCAGAUGUGCCCAGAUGGGAUUAGCUAGUAGGUGGGGUAACGGCUCACCUAGGCGACGAUCCCUAGCUGGUCUGAGAGGAUGACCAGCCACACUGGAACUGAGACACGGUCCAGACUCCUACGGGAGGCAGCAGUGGGGAAUAUUGCACAAUGGGCGCAAGCCUGAUGCAGCCAUGCCGCGUGUGUGAAGAAGGCCUUCGGGUUGUAAAGCACUUUCAGCGGGGAGGAAGGCGGUGAGGUUAAUAACCUCAUCGAUUGACGUUACCCGCAGAAGAAGCACCGGCUAACUCCGUGCCAGCAGCCGCGGUAAUACGGAGGGUGCAAGCGUUAAUCGGAAUUACUGGGCGUAAAGCGCACGCAGGCGGUCUGUCAAGUCGGAUGUGAAAUCCCCGGGCUUAACCUGGGAACUGCAUUCGAAACUGGCAGGCUAGAGUCUUGUAGAGGGGGGUAGAAUUCCAGGUGUAGCGGUGAAAUGCGUAGAGAUCUGGAGGAAUACCGGUGGCGAAGGCGGCCCCCUGGACAAAGACUGACGCUCAGGUGCGAAAGCGUGGGGAGCAAACAGGAUUAGAUACCCUGGUAGUCCACGCCGUAAACGAUGUCGAUUUGGAGGUUGUGCCCUUGAGGCGUGGCUUCCGGAGCUAACGCGUUAAAUCGACCGCCUGGGGAGUACGGCCGCAAGGUUAAAACUCAAAUGAAUUGACGGGGGCCCGCACAAGCGGUGGAGCAUGUGGUUUAAUUCGAUGCAACGCGAAGAACCUUACCUGGUCUUGACAUCCACAGAACUUAGCAGAGAUGCUUUGGUGCCUUCGGGAACUGUGAGACAGGUGCUGCAUGGCUGUCGUCAGCUCGUGUUGUGAAAUGUUGGGUUAAGUCCCGCAACGAGCGCAACCCUUAUCCUUUGUUGCCAGCGGUCCGGCCGGGAACUCAAAGGAGACUGCCAGUGAUAAACUGGAGGAAGGUGGGGAUGACGUCAAGUCAUCAUGGCCCUUACGACCAGGGCUACACACGUGCUACAAUGGCAUAUACAAAGAGAAGCGACCUCGCGAGAGCAAGCGGACCUCAUAAAGUAUGUCGUAGUCCGGAUUGGAGUCUGCAACUCGACUCCAUGAAGUCGGAAUCGCUAGUAAUCGUAGAUCAGAAUGCUACGGUGAAUACGUUCCCGGGCCUUGUACACACCGCCCGUCACACCAUGGGAGUGGGUUGCAAAAGAAGUAGGUAGCUUAACCUUCGGGAGGGCGCUUACCACUUUGUGAUUCAUGACUGGGGUGAAGUCGUAACAAGGUAACCGUAGGGGAACCUGCGGUUG
This 1520-nucleotide ribosomal RNA is filed under the name Klebsiella pneumoniae. RNAcentral describes it as "bacterial SSU rRNA". It matches the Rfam family "Bacterial small subunit ribosomal RNA". The record is from RNAcentral. Lineage: Bacteria; Pseudomonadati; Pseudomonadota; Gammaproteobacteria; Enterobacterales; Enterobacteriaceae.